Molecule: non-coding RNA, 1698 nt
Organism: Megalops cyprinoides (Indo-Pacific tarpon)
Lineage: Eukaryota; Metazoa; Chordata; Actinopteri; Elopiformes; Megalopidae
Source: the annotation of a RefSeq genome assembly
GCUAAACAGCUAGCCUAACCCCCCAAACCCAAACAUACAACCAUAAAUACCACCACACAACAAGACUCACCAACUAAACCAUUUUCCCCUUCUAGUAUAGGAGACAGAAAAAAGAGACCAGAGCAAUAGAAAAAGUACCGCAAGGGAAAGCUGAAAAAGAAAUGAAAAAACCCAUAAAAGCAAAAAAAAGCAGAGACGCAACCUCGUACCUUUUGCAUCAUGAUUUAGCUAGAUCAACCAGGCAAAGAGACCUACAGUCUGACACCCCGAAACUAAACGAGCUACUUCGAGACAGCCCCUUAAGGGCCAACCCGUCUCUGUGGCAAAAGAGUGGGAAGAUCUCCAAGUAGAGGUGACAAACCUAACGAGUUUAGUGAUAGCUGGUUGCUUAAGAAAUGAAUAUAAGUUCAGCCUCCAGAGCCUACUUAAAUCAAACACCACACCAAAGACUAAAAGACAGCCCGGAGAGUUAGUCAGAGGGGGUACAGCCCCUCUGAAAAAGAACACAACCUUACACAGGAGGAUAAGGAUCACAAUAAAAAAGACACCAUCAAGCCACAGUGGGCCUAAAAGCAGCCACCAAUACAGAAAGCGUCAAAGCUCAAGCAAACAAACAAGUCCAUUAUUACGAUAAAACAUCCCACUCCCCUAACAACACUAAGCCAUUCUAUGCAAACAUAGAAAAAACAAUGCUAAAAUCAGUAAUAAGAAGACACGAUCUUCUCCAAGCACAUGUGUACGUUAGACCGAACUAAUCACUAACAAAUCAACGGACCCAAACCAAGAGGGAAAUGCAACAAACACCAAUAAACCAAGAAAAAACUGCUACCCACUACCGUUAACCCAACACAGGAGUGCAGCCUCAGAAGGAAAGACUAAAAGGAAUAGAAGGAACUCGGCAAACAUGAGCCCCGCCUGUUUACCAAAAACAUCGCCUCUUGCGAACAAUCAAAGUAUAAGAGGUCCCGCCUGCCCCGUGACUAACAAGUUCAACGGCCGCGGUAUUCUGACCGUGCGAAGGUAGCGUAAUCACCUGUCUUUUAAAUGAAGACCUGUAUGAAAGGCACCACGAGGGCUCAACUGUCUCCUACCCCCAGUCAAUGAAAUUGAUCUGCCCGUGCAGAAGCGGACAUAAAAACAUAAGACGAGAAGACCCUGUGGAGCUUAAGGCACAAGGCCAACCACGCCAAGCACCACCCAAAAGACACAAGCACAACAGCCACUGGCCCCACAUGCCUUCGGUUGGGGCGACCGCGGAGAAAAACAAAACCUCCACGUGGACCAAGGACACAGUCCUCAAAACCAAGAGACACAACUCCAAGCAGCAGAAAAUCUGACCAAAAAGACCCAGGCCCAAACACGCCUGAUCAACGAACCAAGUUACCCCAGGGAUAACAGCGCAAUCCUUUCCAAGAGUCCAUAUCGACGAAAGGGUUUACGACCUCGAUGUUGGAUCAGGACAUCCUAAUGGUGCAGCCGCUAUUAAGGGUUCGUUUGUUCAACGAUUAAAGUCCUACGUGAUCUGAGUUCAGACCGGAGCAAUCCAGGUCAGUUUCUAUCUAUGCAGUGACUCCCCCCAGUACGAAAGGACCGGGGAAAUGGGGCCCAUACCAAAAGCACGCCCCACCCCCACCCGGCGAAAACAACUAAAACGGAAAAGGGGGCACAACCCACACCACAAGCCACAGAUAAUGGCAC